RNAcentral lists this transfer RNA (69 nucleotides) under Urocitellus parryii (Arctic ground squirrel). RNAcentral describes it as "Spermophilus parryii (Arctic ground squirrel) tRNA". It matches the Rfam family "tRNA". From Rfam's summary of the family: Transfer RNA (tRNA) molecules are approximately 80 nucleotides in length. Lineage: Eukaryota; Metazoa; Chordata; Mammalia; Rodentia; Sciuridae. RNAcentral also lists the same sequence under 2 other names. The record is from Rfam by way of RNAcentral.
GGGAUUGUGGCUCAGUGGUAGAGCACUCAUUUAGCAUGUGUGAGGCCCUGGGUUCAAUCCUCAGCACCA